This is a long non-coding RNA of Cavia porcellus (domestic guinea pig), 504 nucleotides long. RefSeq lists it as uncharacterized. The transcript is spliced from 4 exons. NCBI's taxonomy places the organism in Eukaryota, Metazoa, Chordata, Mammalia, Rodentia, Caviidae. The record is from RefSeq and is a predicted model, not a curated record.
UUUAAGUAAAAUAUUGUGGCUUACCUGAUUCCCAUGCAGUUAUCAGCUGGUGAGAUUUUACAAAAUAUGCUGUAACUUAUGGAAGCAUCUUCAAAGAGAGGUGGUAAAGAGUCAGAUCCUUCCAAGUUAAAGGAAACUUCACUGUUACCCUUCAUCUGGCACUAAUGUUUUCUCUGGGAGAGAGGAGCAGAGAGGAGAGAAGGAUGAUUGCCUUCCAGGUCUCAUGUUCAGUGUUGAAAGAAUUGGAAUUAGACCCCUAAGCUGUGGUGACCAUUUCCUGUGCAUGCUGAAGAGUUCAGCCAAGUUCCUGAGGGAACACGCAACACCCUGGGAAUAUGGAGUGGAACAAAGAUACCUCAACAUCUGCAAAAACAUGAAGCAUUAUUCCUUAUAUUUCACAUUGUGAAGUAUGGGUAGAAUUCAAACUUGAAGCUUUCAAUUGUAAUAUUUAAUUUAAUUUAAGUUACAUAAUGGAAAGAAGCUCUUUAUAAACUGAUAGUUCUU